RNAcentral lists this ribosomal RNA (599 nucleotides) under Stereum sanguinolentum. RNAcentral describes it as "eukaryotic LSU rRNA". It matches the Rfam family "Eukaryotic large subunit ribosomal RNA", at positions 66 to 648 of the family's 3401-position model. The record is from RNAcentral. Lineage: Eukaryota; Fungi; Basidiomycota; Agaricomycetes; Russulales; Stereaceae.
UAACAAGGAUUCCCCUAGUAACUGCGAGUGAAGCGGGAAAAGCUCAAAUUUAAAAUCUGGCGGUCUUCUGGCCGUCCGAGUUGUAGUCUGGAGAAGCGUUUUCCGCGUUGGCCCGUGUACAAGUUUCCUGGAACGGAGCGUCAUAGAGGGUGAGAAUCCCGUCUUUGACACGGACCCCAAUGCUUUGUGAUGCGCUCUCAAAGAGUCGAGUUGUUUGGGAAUGCAGCUCAAAAUGGGUGGUGAAUUCCAUCUAAAGCUAAAUAUUGGCGAGAGACCGAUAGCGAACAAGUACCGUGAGGGAAAGAUGAAAAGCACUUUGGAAAGAGAGUUAAACAGUACGUGAAAUUGUUGAAAGGGAAACGCUUGAAGUCAGUCGCGUCGUCCGGGACUCAGCCUUGCAUCCGCUUGGUGUACUUUCCGGUCGACGGGCCAGCAUCAGUUUUGACCGCGAGAUAAAGGCGGAGGGAAUGUGGCUCUUUCGGGAGUGUUAUAGCCCUUCGUCAGAUGUCGCGGUUGGGACUGAGGAACUCAGCACGCCUUUAUGGCCGGGGUUCGCCCACGUACGUGCUUAGGAUGCUGGCGUAAUGGCUUUAAACGAC